GUGUAAUAUGGCGAAGACCUACGAUUACCUGUUCAAGCUGCUGCUGAUCGGGGACUCGGGGGUGGGGAAGACCUGUGUCCUGUUCCGCUUCUCCGAGGACGCCUUCAACUCCACUUUUAUCUCCACCAUAGAAGUGGAAACUGAGUCAUGGGGAAUUGGCCAUGGGAAAAAGACAGUGGAUCUCAGCUUAAUGAGCAUUUACUAUAUGCCAAGUGCUUCACGUGCAUUUUCACACUCUCCAGUUCUGGGUGUUAAGUGCUGUUAUGAGCCCGUCUCACAGAUGAGGAAUUUGAGGCUCAGGGAGGGCAUGGAACUUGCCCAAGGCCACACAGUCUGCAGGUGGUGAGAAUGGGAUUUGAUGGAAUUUGAACCUGGCUGUGUCUCAACCCAAAACUUCAGGCUUAGCUCUCCUAGAGAGAUGCCACUGCACACUCCCAGCUGAUGACAAGCUCAGCUAAUGCACCUUGGAGCCGGGACUCUAACCCACACCAUUCCUGCUCUUUUCUCUGGAGCGUUCA
This 518-nucleotide small RNA is filed under the name Pongo abelii (Sumatran orangutan). Its description in RNAcentral is "processed transcript". Lineage: Eukaryota; Metazoa; Chordata; Mammalia; Primates; Hominidae. The record is from RNAcentral.